RNAcentral lists this ribosomal RNA (499 nucleotides) under uncultured bacterium. RNAcentral's name for it is "bacterial SSU rRNA". It matches the Rfam family "Bacterial small subunit ribosomal RNA", at positions 343 to 842 of the family's 1533-position model. The record is from RNAcentral.
GGGAGGCAGCAGUGAGGAAUAUUGGUCAAUGGGCGCGAGCCUGAACCAGCCAAGUCGCGUGAGGGAUGAAGGUUCUAUGGAUCGUAAACCUCUUUUAUAAGGGAAUAAAGUGUGGGACGUGUCCUAUUUUGUAUGUACCUUAUGAAUAAGGAUCGGCUAACUCCGUGCCAGCAGCCGCGGUAAUACGGAGGAUCCGAGCGUUAUCCGGAUUUAUUGGGUUUAAAGGGUGCGUAGGCGGCCUUUUAAGUCAGCGGUGAAAGUCUGUGGCUCAACCAUAGAAUUGCCGUUGAAACUGGGGGGCUUGAGUAUGUUUGAGGCAGGCGGAAUGCGUGGUGUAGCGGUGAAAUGCUUAGAUAUCACGCAGAACCCCGAUUGCGAAGGCAGCCUGCCAAGCCAUGACUGACGCUGAUGCACGAAAGCGUGGGGAUCAAACAGGAUUAGAUACCCUGGUAGUCCACGCAGUAAACGAUGAUCACUAGCUGUUUGCGAUACAGUGUAA